GCCUGCCCAGUGAUUACUUUAUUCAACGGCCGCGGUAUCCUAACCGUGCAAAGGUAGCGCAAUCACUUGUUCUUUAAAUGAGGACUAGUAUGAAUGGCGACAUGAGGAUCAACUUGUCUCUCACGAAAAGUCUCUGAAACUGAUCUUCCAGUGCAAAAGCUGGAAUAUACCCACAAGACGAGAAGACCCUGUGGAGCUUCAAACUUCGAGCCACCCAAACCUGGCCUCCUUGUUUUUAGUUGGGGCGACUUUGGAGCAAAACAAAACCUCCAAAUAAACCAAACCCUAGGCCGCCACGCCUAGGCCACCGACCACUGACCCAAUAUAAUUGAUCAAUGAACCAAGUUACCCCAGGGAUAACAGCGCAAUCUUCUUCUAGAGUCCCUAUCGACAAGAAGGUUUACGACCUCGAUGUUGGAUCAGGAUACCCAAAUAGUGCAGCCGCUAUUAAAGGUUCGUUUGUUCAACGAUUAACAAUCCUACGUGAUCUGAGUUCAGACCGG
RNAcentral lists this ribosomal RNA (503 nucleotides) under Amphisbaena bahiana. RNAcentral describes it as "partial 16S ribosomal RNA". It matches the Rfam family "Bacterial large subunit ribosomal RNA", at positions 1857 to 2619 of the family's 2925-position model. The record is from RNAcentral. Lineage: Eukaryota; Metazoa; Chordata; Lepidosauria; Squamata; Amphisbaenidae.